AAUCUUCCGCAAUGGGCGAAAGCCUGACGGAGCGACGCCGCGUGCAGGAUGAAGGCCUUCGGGUCGUAAACUGCUUUUAUUAGGGAAAAAUUUCUGAUUGUACCUAAUGAAUAAGGGACUGCUAACUUCGUGCCAGCAGCAGCGGUAAUACGAAGGUCCCAAGCGUUGUCCGGUGUUAUUAGGCGUAAAGCGUCCGCAGGUUGCUCAGCGCAUCUUUGGUCAAAUCUAUGGGCUCAACCCAUAAACUGCCAAAGAGAUGGCUGAGCUAGAGGCAGGGAGAGGCACGUGGAAUGGCUGGUGUAGGAGUAAUAUCCGUUAAUCUCAGCCAGAACACCAAAAGCGAAGGCAGCGUGCUGGAACUGUCCUGACACUCAGGGACGAAAGCGUGGGUAGCGAAUGGGAUUAGAUACCCCAGUAGUCCACGCCGUAAACGAUGGGUACUAGGCAUUGAGAGCUCGACCCUCCCAGUGCCGCUUCUAAAAAAGCUAACGCGUUAAGUACCCCGCCUGGGGAGUACGGCCGCAAGGCUAAAACUCAAAGGAAUUGACGGGAAUUCGCACAAGUGGUGGAGCGUGUGGUUCAAUUCGACAUUAAGCGAGGAACCUCACCAAGGCUUGACAUCUUGGGAAUCUUUAAGAAAUUAGAGAGUGCCUUCGGGAACCCAAUGACAGGUGUUGCAUGGUUGUCGUCAGCUCGUGUCGUGAGACGUUCGGUUAAGUCCGUUAACGAGCGCAACCCUUAUGCUGUGUUACAAAGUGUCACAGCAAACUGCCCUGGAUAACAGGGAGGAAGGUAGGGACGACGUCAAAUCAGCAUGACCCUUACGCCUUGGGCUACACACGCGCUACAAUGGCCAGUACAAAGGGACGCGAAGCGGUAACGUGGAGCAAAUCCCUAAAACUGGUCCCAGUUCGGAUAGAGGUCUGCAAUUCGACCUCUUGAAGCCGGAAUCACUAGUAACCGUAUAUCAGCCACGGUACGGUGAAUACGUUCUCGAAUUUUGUACACACCGCCCGUCAAAUCAAGGGAGUCGGGGGUACCUUAAGGCCGACAUUGGUCGGUCCAAGGUAAAACCGAUGACAGGGAUUAAGUCGUAACAAGGCAUCCGUAGCGGAAGCUGUGGAUG
This 1126-nucleotide ribosomal RNA is filed under the name marine metagenome. RNAcentral's name for it is "bacterial SSU rRNA". It matches the Rfam family "Bacterial small subunit ribosomal RNA", at positions 360 to 1520 of the family's 1533-position model. The record is from RNAcentral.